GUGCUCACUUCAGCAGCACAUAUACUAAAACUGGAACGAUACAGAGAAGAUUAGCAUGGCCCCUGUGUAAGGAUGAUACACAAAUUCGUGAAGCGUUCCAUAUUUUU
Small nuclear RNA from Bos indicus x Bos taurus (hybrid cattle), 107 nucleotides. The record is from Ensembl. Lineage: Eukaryota; Metazoa; Chordata; Mammalia; Artiodactyla; Bovidae.